AUGGCAGAUGCCGAACCUUUUGACGCCAGCCUGGACCGGCUCGAGGCAGCCAUGGCCAACCUCACUGCAGUGGAUUCUGAUCUCCAUGCAUCUCACCUUCAUUUAGACACGCUCCACGCUUCCAUGCUCUUCAAAUUAGAUCUCAUUAGCCUGAAACUGGAUACCCUGAUCUCCCGCCAACGCUCCCCGAAUGGCUUAUACAUUUUUAACCCUGGAUCCUGGAUAUUUACAAAUGAUGGCUUUGUGUUGAUCAUGGAAGAUGAAGUGAAAUUUUACAAAAACUUGAGUGUUGAGUUUACAACGAGUGUUUAUCUGUCACACGAAGCGGUCAAUGUUGUUGCUGCUCGACUUAGUAGGGUGGAACCCUCGCUUAGAAAGGAGGUAGUUGAAUACAUGUGUGACACAGAUUCUCAUCUCUGGAGUAUGAGGCGAACUUCUACAGUCCGAUGACAGUGUUUUCUGGAAUUCUCUCAGUUGUAAGAUGGUUAGGGGAAGUUUCCACAUGGAAGCAUCCUAUAACAACAGUGCUGGUGCACAUUCUUUUUCUGAUGCUUGUGUGUUUCCCUGAACUUAUACUGCCAACCGUGUUUCUAUACAUGUUUGUCAUCGGCAUGUGGAAUUGGAGGUUCCGGCCAAGGUGGCCUCCUCACAUGAACAUCAGACUCUCCUAUGCAGAAAGGGUGACCCCGGAUGAGCUUGAUGAGGAAUUUGACACAUUCCCCACCUCAAAGAGCCCCGACAUUCUACGUUGGAGGUACGAUCGGUUAAGAAGUGUGGCUGGGAGGAUCCAGAGUGUUGUUGGAGAUUUAGCUACUCAAGGAGAGAGGAUCCAAGCUCUUGUGAACUGGCGUGAUCCUCGUGCCACUGCCAUGUUCAUGGUAUUUUGCUUCGUGGCUGCUAUUGCGUUGUAUGUCACACCCUUCCAGCUGCCUAUUCUUCUGACUGGAUUCUACUUGAUGAGGCACCCCAUGCUUCGAAGCAAGGUGCCGCCUGCUCCGGUUAAUUUCUUCCGCAGGUUGCCUUCUCUCACAGACAGCAUGCUGUAAAUGGACACUCUUGGUGUGUUCUUGAAUCUUGAAAACUUAUCUGCUGCUGCCAGUGUUUGAAUCUGGCAUUAGUUUUUGGCAGUGGUUGUAGAAUCAUUGGAGCUAUCUCACUUUGUGUUGGUUUAUUGAGUGUUGACUGUUGAUGCAACUGUAUACUUAGUGUGGUAAAACUCCAAUGUAGUUUUCAUGUUAAUCAGCGUUUGUGAACUUAUGUUCUAUGCUUGAAUGGCUCGUGACUAUGUUAAAUGAUCUGUCUAAGCUCUUAAGUGACUAA
RNA transcript from Glycine soja, 1320 nucleotides. It is a transcript of the gene named FT-interacting protein 7-like, with no coding region annotated. The transcript has 3 exons. NCBI's taxonomy places the organism in Eukaryota, Viridiplantae, Streptophyta, Magnoliopsida, Fabales, Fabaceae. The record is from RefSeq and is a predicted model, not a curated record.